Molecule: ribosomal RNA, 468 nt
Filed under: uncultured bacterium
Lineage: Bacteria
Description: partial 16S ribosomal RNA
Rfam family: Bacterial small subunit ribosomal RNA
Source: RNAcentral
GAUGAACGCUGGCGGCGUGCUUAACACAUGCAAGUCGAACGGAAAGGCCCAAGCUUGCUUGGGUACUCGAGUGGCGAACGGGUGAGUAACACGUGGGUGAUCUGCCCUGCACUUCGGGAUAAGCCUGGGAAACUGGGUCUAAUACCGGAUAGGACGAUGGUUUGGAUGCCAUUGUGGAAAGUUUUUUCGGUGUGGGAUGAGCUCGCGGCCUAUCAGCUUGUUGGUGGGGUAAUGUCCUACCAAGGCGUCGACGGGUAGCCGGCCUGAGAGGGUGUACGGCCACAUUGGGACUGAGAUACGGCCCAGACUCCUACGGGAGGCAGCAGUGGGGAAUAUUGCACAAUGGGCGCAAGCCUGAUGCAGCGACGCCGCGUGGGGGAUGACGGCCUUCGGGUUGUAAACUCCUUUCGCUAGGGACGAAGCGUUUUUGUGACGGUACCUGGAGAAGAAGCACCGGCUAACUACGUG